Long non-coding RNA from Lolium perenne, 1451 nucleotides. RefSeq lists it as uncharacterized. The record is from RefSeq and is a predicted model, not a curated record. NCBI's taxonomy places the organism in Eukaryota, Viridiplantae, Streptophyta, Magnoliopsida, Poales, Poaceae.
AGCGACACCGCUCUCGUCUUUUCCGCUCCCUCCCACCCACACCAGCCCGAGCUCCCUCCACCCACAGCCGCCGGCCACCACGUCUCCUCACCUACGCCGCCGGCUGGUCACCCCAGCCAUCUUCCGUCGCCGGCGCCAGACCUCUCCUACCUCCUCCUCCUCCCAGUUCUCUCCCGAGACCCCCCCACCCCCCGUCCCGUCCCUAUCCUCGCGUGAGAUCCCAUCAUCGGCGCUCCAUACCCGCUGCCUGCCGGUCAAACUCGACAUCGCCACCGUUCGGCGAAGCUCGGACGCCGUCCGCCCUGCCGAAUCUCCCCUAAUCGGCCCUCAACUGCGCCGCCGCGAAACACUAGGUCGCCGGCCGGCGUCGAGGACGACGCAGGCCAGGCCACUCGCGGCAACUCUCCCCCUGGUCUUCCGCUUCCCCGGCGCGGCCUAUCUGCCCCGUCCCCGUGCGCGCGCCCUUCAGCACCGGGUCCUCACGCCUGGAUGUUGUGGCCGUGCGGGACGGCCUCGCCUGCUCCGGGACGUCGACAACCGCAACUGCUGCUGAAGAUAUGAGUUGCGCCUUAACCCGCAUCCCCCAACCCGCUUCUCCUCGUUUGAAAAAUCGCAUCUUUCUUGUUCAGGCAGCCGGAUGAGAGAGGCGGGAUGUGCUGCUGAUGGUCAUCACCGUCCGCGGGUUGCAGUGGUAUGAUGCUGCGCGCAGGCACCCCAAGGAGCUAGGCGGGAUGUUGCUGUUGAUGGUCUCCGUCGUCCGUUGAUGGUCUCCGUCGUUCGCUGAGCAUGUGGGGAAGAAGCAGCAGGAGGGGAUCUGAAGCCCUAGCACGUGGACGCCGGCGGCAGCUCUCUCUCGUGCCGCUCCGACAGCCUCAAGCCUCCUCCUUGUCUCCUGCUGGUGCUUGCACGUCCUCGACAUGUUGCUGGUACCUGGUCCUUUAUCGAAAAAAAUGUUUCAGGUCCAGACGAGAAGAGCAGAAUCACAACAAUCUGCGCAGUAUCGUGGCGUGCCAGAGUAGAAGAGCAGAAUCACAGCGAGGCGCAGGUCCUGCCCGCUAGGUGUUGUGCCGUGCCGGAGAAGAGCAGAAUCCCAUCAAGUGGCGGGUCCUGCUGGCCAGGUGCCGUGUCGUGCUGAAGGAGAUGUGGGCUACCUGAUGGCAAGAGAUCCGGGAGAGCUGUUGGAGAUAGGUGCGACCUGUGGUGGAGCUAGGUGCUGGAGUAGCUGCUGCCGGAGAUGAUGGAUGGGGGUGGAGGAGUCGCUGGGGCCCGGAGGGAGUAUGCCAUUGUUGUUUAGCUAGGUAUGAACUUGUAUCUAUUUGUGUAAUAUUUGCUACAUGGAGUAGCGAAGUUUGAAUCAUAUGGUCAACUACCUACUGUCUACACAUGUGUUAUUGAUGCAUGCAUGUUAUGAACAUUUCGGUGCUUUCUAUAUAUUGUUUAUCUUGUUGUCA